GCCCCAGUAACGGCGAGUGAAGCGGCAACAGCUCAAAUUUGAAAUCUGGCCCCUUUUCGGGGUCCGAGUUGUAAUUUGCAGAGGGUGCUUUGGCGUAGGCGGCGGUCUAAGUUCCUUGGAACAGGACAUCGCAGAGGGUGAGAAUCCCGUAUGUGGGCGCCUGCCUUUGCCGUGUAAAGCCCCUUCGACGAGUCGAGUUGUUUGGGAAUGCAGCUCUAAAUGGGAGGUAAAUUUCUUCUAAAGCUAAAUACCGGCCAGAGACCGAUAGCGCACAAGUAGAGUGAUCGAAAGAUGAAAAGUACUUUGGAAAGAGAGUCAAAAAGCACGUGAAAUUGUUGAAAGGGAAGCGCUUGCAGCCAGACGUGCCCGUAGUUGCUCACCCAGGCUCUUGCCCGGGGCACUCUUCUGCGGGCAGGCCAGCAUCAGUUUGGGCGGUUGGACAAAGGCCUCUGUCACGUAUCUCUCUUCGGGGAGACCUUAUAGGGGAGGCGCAAUGCAACCAGCCCGGACUGAGGUCCGCGCAUCUGCUAGGAUGCUGGCGUAAUGGCUGUAAGCGGCCCGUCUUGAAACACGGACCAAGGAGUCUAACAUCUAUGCGAGUGUUUGGGUGUCAAGCCCGGGCGCGCAAUGAAAGUGAACGGAGGUGGGAACCUUCCGGGGUGCACCAUCGACCGAUCCUGAAGUCUUCGGAUGGAUUUGAGUACGAGCAUAGCUGUUGG
This 719-nucleotide ribosomal RNA is filed under the name Pleosporales sp. OTU05. RNAcentral's name for it is "LSU rRNA". It matches the Rfam family "Eukaryotic large subunit ribosomal RNA", at positions 77 to 812 of the family's 3401-position model. The record is from RNAcentral. Lineage: Eukaryota; Fungi; Ascomycota; Dothideomycetes; Pleosporales.